GGGGAUGUAGCUCAGUGGUAGAGCACUUGCCUCAUAGGUAUGAGGCCCCAGGCUCAAUCCCCA
RNAcentral lists this transfer RNA (63 nucleotides) under Heterocephalus glaber (naked mole-rat). It matches the Rfam family "tRNA". From Rfam's summary of the family: Transfer RNA (tRNA) molecules are approximately 80 nucleotides in length. Their secondary structure includes four short double-helical elements and three loops (D, anti-codon, and T loops). The record is from Rfam by way of RNAcentral. Lineage: Eukaryota; Metazoa; Chordata; Mammalia; Rodentia; Bathyergidae.